Molecule: ribosomal RNA, 497 nt
Filed under: uncultured bacterium
Lineage: Bacteria
Description: partial 16S ribosomal RNA
Rfam family: Bacterial small subunit ribosomal RNA
Source: RNAcentral
GAUGAACGCUGGCGGCGUGCCUAGUACAUGCAAGUCGAGCGAACAGACGAGGAGCUUGCUCCUCUGACGUUAGCGGCGGACGGGUGAGUAACACGUGGAUAACCUACCUAUAAGACUGGGAUAACUUCGGGAAACCGGAGCUAAUACCGGAUAAUAUAUUGAACCGCAUGGUUCAAUAGUGAAAGACGGUUUUGCUGUCACUUAUAGAUGGAUCCGCGCCGCAUUAGCUAGUUGGUAAGGUAACGGCUUACCAAGGCAACGAUGCGUAGCCGACCUGAGAGGGGGAGCGGCCACACUGGAACUGAGACACGGUCCAGACUCCUACGGGAGGCAGCAGUAGGGAAUCUUCCGCAAUGGGCGAAAGCUUGACGGAGCAACGCCGCGUGAGUGAUGAAGGUCUUCGGAUCGUAAAACUCUGUUAUUAGGGAAGAACAAAUGUGUAAGUAACUAUGCACGUCUUGACGGUACCUAAUCAGAAAGCCACGGCUAACUACGUG